Molecule: RNA transcript, 1809 nt
Organism: Papaver somniferum (opium poppy)
Lineage: Eukaryota; Viridiplantae; Streptophyta; Magnoliopsida; Ranunculales; Papaveraceae
Gene name: siroheme synthase-like
Exons: 6
Source: RefSeq, a predicted model, not a curated record
AUAUAUAUAUAUAUAUAUAACAAAAGAACACAGCAGCCUGAUAUCAUUUUCAGUUGUAAGCUCGAUAAUGGCGGUUUUCAAUACCAAGUUCCCAUCUUUACUAGCUGGAACUACUUCUAAUUCUAAAAAAACCCAUAAUCAUAAAUUCCAUCAUUUACAAAUCUCUAACUGUUCUUUAUCCUACACCCCACCUUCCACCACUUAUUCCUCUAAUUCUUCUCCAUUCACUGAAAAGCACUCUGUAGAGAGAUAUCAAAGAGAUAAUUGGUUGUAUUCCAAAGACUCGUCAUUUGAUAAUACUACUUGUUGUUCAAUACCAAUUGAUCCAAAUUAUAUUAGAAAUGAAGAUAUCGCUCUUCAAUUACCUGAGUUGAAGAAAUUGCUUCAGGUUUUGAGAGAAAAGAGACAAGGAGAAGAUGGAAAUGGAAAUGGGUUUUCAAAUAAAGGGCCUGGGAACGUAUUCUUGGUUGGGACUGGACCUGGAGAUCCGGAGUUGUUGACUUUGAAAGCAUUGAGGGCAAUUGAGAGUGCUGAUCUUCUAUUGUAUGAUAGAUUAGUUUCUAAUGAUGUUUUGAAUUUAGUCAGACAAGAUGCAAGGCUUCUCUAUGUUGGCAAAACUGCUGGAUACCAUAGCAGAACUCAGGAAGAGAUUCAUGAGUUGCUCCUUAGUUUUGCUGAAGCUGGUGCAAAUGUUGUAAGGCUUAAAGGAGGGGAUCCGCUGGUAUUUGGGAGGGGUGGCGAGGAGAUGGAUUUUUUGCAACAACAAGGGAUUCAAGUGAAGGUGAUCCCAGGAAUAACUGCUGCUUCAGGAAUAGCAGCUGAGCUUGGAAUACCAUUGACUCAUCGUGGUGUUGCCAAUAGUGUUAGGUUUCUGACUGGGCACUCGAGGAAAGGAGGAACAGACCCAUUGUUUGUUGCAGAGAAUGCUGCGGACCAAGAUUGUACUUUAGUUGUUUACAUGGGAUUAUCGACCCUUCCUUCACUUGCUCAGAAGUUGAUGCGUCAAGGUUUGCCACCUGAUACACCCGCAGUUGCGGUUGAACGGGGGACAACUCCUCAACAGCGGAUGAAUUGGGCAAAUGCAAAGCACCCGGCCUUACAUUCCCCGGCACUAGUAUAAGCAUUUCUCCAUUAUUUUUCAACAAAAUGAGGGGGUUUGACGAAGAAUAAAAAGGGAUAAGAGUACAGCUUAGCUGAUUGAACUCUGUAUUUGCAGAAUUGCAUGAUCUUGUAGACAAAGUUACCUCUGCUGAGCUUUUAUCACCAACCCUAAUUGUCAUCGGCAAAGUCGUUGCGCUCUCACCGCUAUGGCCACUUUCUUCAAAAGCAGUAAUGAUGGCAGAGACAUGACUAAUUUUGAUUCAAGACUGAAGAUAUUUCAUGAACUUAUCCUCUGCUUAAGCAUGUUCUUCGGGUGACUGAGCCUUGAUUUUGAAAAUUUGCGAGGGUCUGCAGGCAUGCUUAGUUGAGGGGUAACCAUUGAUGUCGCCAUGGAGUGAGACUAUUUGAUUAGGGGCUAGCAGGAUCUGUAAAUGUGCAGUCACCGAAACUAAUUUAUCGCCAGAGAAAGGGAUAUACUGUGGAAGAAAUCUGUAGAGUUAUUUUGUUUUUUCCCGCUCAUUGUAAUUCUCGUUUGAUUCUUGUUGUCUUAAUUUCUAUAUCUGAUAAAGAAAAUGCAAGCACAUGGCCAAGAAAAGUCUGUUAUUGUCCUUGGCUAUUGUGAUUGUCCAAGAUACAUAGUGGUGGUCUCUUUCAGGGAAUAAAAGACGCAAUUGCCUUUCAUUCAAUUCAAGGAAAAUGAUCAGGUGU